AGAGCCGAUUAUUGACAUACCAUUGACCCUGUUAUUGACAGUAUAAGUAAAUGAUUAUAUGGUUAUUUAGACUAUAAAUAAUCUAAAAUAAUU
Molecule: long non-coding RNA, 93 nt
Organism: Cotesia glomerata
Lineage: Eukaryota; Metazoa; Arthropoda; Insecta; Hymenoptera; Braconidae
Exons: 2
Source: RefSeq, a predicted model, not a curated record